Molecule: unclassified non-coding RNA, 351 nt
Filed under: Zea mays
Lineage: Eukaryota; Viridiplantae; Streptophyta; Magnoliopsida; Poales; Poaceae
Description: misc RNA Zm00001eb322030
Source: RNAcentral
UUGAUUUCGUCGCCGUCAAGGAAAACUCCGCUUCCGUCUGAAGACUUCGACUUCUCUUGGCUUGCUCAUCGGCUGCGUCUCUUUGCGAUGGCGCGUCCACGCAUGCAGAUACACUACGUCCCGCCGUACGCUACAACUAUUUGUGAUGUAAUUAGAAGAUAUCUUCAGAACCUUUGUGACGCUUUGAAGAAUUACUGGCCUGUACAAAAAAGAAAACUCCCGACGAUAAAGGUAAAAAAUCGAGACUCCUCUUCAAUCUCCACCAAAGAGAGGAUAAGAUCAUCAAGUGGAUCCCGAACUGUCAUUUACAAUAACUGUUGUAAAAGUGGCAAAGUCCCUCUUCCUCCUUAG